Molecule: unclassified non-coding RNA, 262 nt
Filed under: Absconditella sp.
Lineage: Eukaryota; Fungi; Ascomycota; Lecanoromycetes; Ostropales; Stictidaceae
Description: partial contains 5.8S ribosomal RNA, internal transcribed spacer 2, and large subunit ribosomal RNA
Source: RNAcentral
CGCACAUUGCGCCCUCUGGUAUUCCGGGGGGCAUGCUUGUUCGAGCGUCAUUACACCAUUCAAGCUCAGCUUGGUAUUGGGAACUGCCCUUGUUUAUCAGAGGGCAUUCCUGAAAAGGAGCGGCAGAGCAACUAGAACUCUCAGCGCAGUAAAUUUUCAUCUCGUUGUGGAGGUCUAGCUUUUCUAGCCAAAACACAGCUGUCUCGGCAGCUGCUUUCUCAGAAUUGACCUCGGAUCAAGUAGGGAUACCCGCUGAACUUAA